CCUACGGGCGGCAGCAGUAGGGAAUAUUGCUCAAUGGGGGAAACCCUGAAGCAGCAACGCCGCGUGGAGGAUGAAGGUUUUCGGAUUGUAAACUCCUUUUGUUAGAGAAGAUAAUGACGGUAUCUAACGAAUAAGCACCGGCUAACUCCGUGCCAGCAGCCGCGGUAAUACGGAGGGUGCAAGCGUUACUCGGAAUCACUGGGCGUAAAGAGCGCGUAGGCGGGUUAGCAAGUCAGAUGUGAAAUCCUAGGGCUUAACCAUAGAACUGCAUUUGAAACUGUUAUUCUAGAGUAUGGGAGAGGUAGGGGGAAUUCUGGGUGUAGGGGUAAAAUCCGUAGAGAUCAAGAGGAAUACUCAUUGCGAAGGCGACCUGCUAGAACAUAACUGACGCUGAUGCGCGAAAGCGUGGGGAGCAAACAGGAUUAGAUACCCUUGUGUC
Molecule: ribosomal RNA, 439 nt
Filed under: uncultured bacterium
Lineage: Bacteria
Description: partial 16S ribosomal RNA
Rfam family: Bacterial small subunit ribosomal RNA
Source: RNAcentral